GUCCCAGAGGGUUGUGGGACUGGGCUGUGCUUCCUAACCCACUCCUCUCCCGCCAG
RNAcentral lists this microRNA precursor (56 nucleotides) under Mus pahari (shrew mouse). RNAcentral describes it as "microRNA 7017 (MGP_PahariEiJ_G0007565.1)". The record is from RNAcentral. Lineage: Eukaryota; Metazoa; Chordata; Mammalia; Rodentia; Muridae.